AAAUCGUGAUUUGGAGACUUCUAUAAUUAUUCUUUAAAUCUCGCCCAAGCUUCAUAUAUCUACUCCCCCUGGCAUUGUUUGAACUCAUAAACCUUGUACGAAUUU
This is a small nucleolar RNA of Lycium barbarum (goji berry), 105 nucleotides long. The record is from RefSeq and is a predicted model, not a curated record. Lineage: Eukaryota; Viridiplantae; Streptophyta; Magnoliopsida; Solanales; Solanaceae.